Molecule: long non-coding RNA, 1465 nt
Filed under: Homo sapiens (human)
Lineage: Eukaryota; Metazoa; Chordata; Mammalia; Primates; Hominidae
Description: HSALNT0318097
Source: RNAcentral
CGUUAGUUAACCCUUUACUGCUCAGCUGCCAGAGGCCUUCUGCUUCUGGGAGGGAUGGGCAGGAAGGGGACCCACCACAUCCCAGCCAGUCACUGUGUGGGGACGCUCCCUGCCUCUCACCCUGGAGAUAACUCUGAGUGGGAGGCGUGGCUCCCUCCUCUGUACAGAAGGGACGCCUGAGGUCCAGUGAGUACAGUGGCCAGCUCAAGGUCACACAGCUUGUCACCAUACUUCCUCCACGGGAGCCUGACAUGGGCCUCGGGCACGCACGGCUGUCUUGGAGUAAUAUCAUUAACCAUGGAGGUGCCCAGUGGGAGACUGGGUCAGGGGCGGAUGAGGCCUUCCCUAGGGCUGGCCACCUGCUGGGGCUGGGCAGGGCACUGGAGCAGGUCUGCGAGCUCUGCUGGGUGGCCUUGGGCAAGCUGGUACCUUCUCAGAGCUGUAGCCUUGGCCCUGGGCCCUCCCAGCGCCUGGCACGAGGGCUCAGCGGGCAGCCGGAUGGAGGAGGAGGAGCAGCUUCCUCAGCACAUUGAGGAGGCCUGGACACCGUCCAUCCUGCUGACUUCCCAGGCUGUGGGGCAGAUGCUGCCGCUCGGAACCCACCCGUGCCCUGCAGACGUACAGGUGUGAGAAGUCUCCUCCCUCAUCAUCCCCUUCAGGCAGCAGCUACUGCUGAGGAGUUGGGGCCGCAUGUUGUGAGGGCCCCAUUCACAGCUUGGGAGCCAGGCUGCAGUGUUCAAGCUCAGCCCCUCUACCUCCUCCCUCCUCCUCUGGUUGGUGAGAAUGUGCUAGUCCUCCGGCUGGGUGUUGAAGGGACUCAACGAGCUAACGCGUCCAGCAUACCCAGCGCUUGGAAGUCGACACAGGCGUGACUGAGGGGAUUUGUCAUCGCCAUGAUUACUACUACAGCCACCCGAUUUACUGCUGUCUUUAGGAGUUUUCUGAUCAGACACACUGAGGACACGCAUGGUGAUUAUGUCUGUGGGUCAGUGUUAGUGUUAGCUAGUCAGUGUUGCCGUUGACUUAUCCCUUGUUUUGGAUUCCAUAACAUCUUCCCACUCAAAACUUUCAGCCGGGUUUCCACAAUCGCACGACUCGAAGCAUCCUCUAAGCUUUCCAGAGAGGGGCAGUUGUUUGUGUUAAUUGUGUCUUAUUUCCUAAUGAAUUUUUGUAUCUUAUAUGUAAAUAUUAUCAUGCAUGUUUUAAAGUAGAAUUCCCUUUCAGAUGGCUCUGACCUCAUCUACUUGUGUCUUGGGCAUUUUUUCCUUCUCUUUGAAAACACUCAAUACGUCAUUUGGACUGCCUUCAGCAGAAACCGAAUACAGUCAACAGUGCCUCGAAAAAUCAGUUUAGAGUGUCAGAUUCUAUAAUCUGCGAACUGGCAUACGAAAAUGUUAUCAUUUUGUUCCAGGACCCCCUAAGAGUAAACGGAGGCUCUCCUUUGAAAAAUAUUGAGUUGUAAGAG